GGUAGCUCAGUGGUGGAAUGCUUGCCUAGCAUGCUCAAGAGGCCCUGGGUUCAAUCCCCAGUACCA
Molecule: transfer RNA, 66 nt
Filed under: Marmota monax (woodchuck)
Lineage: Eukaryota; Metazoa; Chordata; Mammalia; Rodentia; Sciuridae
Description: tRNA.Ala
Source: RNAcentral